AGGCUGCACGCUUCCUCUACUGUUUGGUUCCUGUAUUGAUGACUCCUGAUUUUCACUUUACUUGGUUUCAGUACUAGUUCUCUCCCCCUGAAGAAUGCCAUCGAUCCUUAAGAUCCUAGGAACUCUCUUGGGCCCAAGCACGGCAGGGCCCCCCUGGGGUCUGGAGCAGGACUCUCUUCCUUCUCCCUGAGGAGUGCAGAAUCGGUUACAGAUGGGAGUCAGGCCCACAUGCAAUGACCAGGGCGGUCAGGCGUCCUCCGAGAAAAGCAGUCGGUGUGAGAUUUGCUGACACCCCAGAGAGGUGACCAUCCCCCAAACUUCUGGUGAGGACAGUCUCAGUUUUGGCUGCACUUUAUACCCGACCUGGGCCUCGCCCCUGUGUCGGUCAGGAUUUCAUGACAUGACCAGAGGUCCUGACGAGGAUGACUGAGAGCAAGAGAAGUUUAUUUUGGCUGGUGGUUUCAGAGAUUCAGUUCAUAGGAAGUCGACUCCAUGGCUCUGGGCCCAAGGUGGGGCAGAAAUCAUGGUGGAAGGGCGUGGUGGAGGGGAGCAGCUAGGACCAGAGGUCUGGAAGGCCAGUAGCAGAGAGAGCGCCACUCAUCAGGGACAAAAUACAUACCUGAAGCCGGGCGUGGUGGUGCCCACUUGUCAUCAGAGACUUGAGAGGCUGAGGCAGGAGGAUCGCAAGAUCUAUGCCAGUUUCUGCAACUUAGUGAGAUCCUGUUUCAAAAUAAAAAAUAAAAAAGGGCUGGGGAUAUGGCUCAGUGGCAAAGCACCCCGGGGUUAAAUCCUCAGAAGGAUUUAUAUGCGCGCGCGCACGCGCCAAAGGCACACCCCAAAUGACUACCUCCUCCAGCCAUACCCUACCUGCCUAUGGUUUCAGUUAAUCCAUGUAAGUGGAUUAAUCCAUUAUUAGUCUACAGCUAGUCAUUCCACCUCUGAACAUUCUUGCGUUGUCUCACACGUGAACUAUUGGGGGACGCCCAUCUAAAUCACGUGAUUCUCUGAUAUCCUAAUUUCAUUGAUCUGGGGUGGGGCCAGGGCUCAUUUCCUUAAAACCUUCUAAGCUGUGGUCAACAUGCAGGUGGGGUGAGUUCCUGGUGUGCGGAACGUGGACAGAGGAUCCAGCAAUGAUUUUGGGACUAACCCAGGUCACCUAACAAGAGUGAGGAGCCACAGUAAACUCUCGUUUGUUUACGUUUCCUUCUUUGGUUUGGCAGGACUAGCACCGGUGUCCCUGCUGUCUAGAAGACUCUUCCUUCACACUGAUCUUGGCCGACGUGGGGACUUGAGGGUGGGGUCUUGGUGUUCUGUUGGCUGAUGGCUGCUGGAGUCAGAAUCGUGAGAAGAUCGCGUCCAUCUGGAACUUUCUAGGGUUUGUAGACUGCAAGUGCGAGGAUUCUUACAGCUCAUAAACAGAAGGAAAAAAAUCUCUAGAUGAGACUGCUAGGGACAGUCCUCCGGACACCAAGCCAAGAGGUCUCUUUGUCAGCUGUCAUAAUGCCCCUCUGGUCACUGUGGGAUGUUGGUGGUUAUAGCAAUGGAGGGCGCACAGAGGGAUUAUGGCAGGAGGUUUUCAGAAACUCACACAUGCCCUGUCCAGAUUCCUCUCCCUGGGGCCAGCUCUGCUCAGCCACAGUUUGUGUCUUUAUUGGAGGUCUUCUACGUGGACACCAAGGGUGGGGGGUGGUGUCAC
RNAcentral lists this long non-coding RNA (1696 nucleotides) under Marmota monax (woodchuck). Lineage: Eukaryota; Metazoa; Chordata; Mammalia; Rodentia; Sciuridae. The record is from RNAcentral.